Non-coding RNA from Salmo salar (Atlantic salmon), 3667 nucleotides. Lineage: Eukaryota; Metazoa; Chordata; Actinopteri; Salmoniformes; Salmonidae. The record is from RefSeq and is a predicted model, not a curated record.
GAGCCUAUUGCACAGUACGCGCUUUGACGUGAGUGAAAUGGAUGUGUGGAGGACUCUGCCUCCGUGCAUGCGUUUGGCUUUGCUCUUUUUCUUCAUGCAUUUUGAAAGUGUGUCAACUUUCGAGCUUACAUUGCUACACACCAACGAUGCUCACGCUCGGAUUGAGGAGAAUAGUAGAGAGUCGGGUAAAUGUAGUCCAGGUAGUCCUUGUUUCGGUGGAGUGGCCAGGAGGUUCACAAAAAUAGCAGACAUCCGGAGCAAAGAACGGAAUGUGUUAUUGCUGGAUGCUGGCGAUCAGUUUCAGGGUACUGUCUGGUUCAACUACUACAAAGGGGAGGAAGCUGCGUAUUUCAUGAACAAGCUUGGAUAUGAUGCGAUGGCAUUUGGAAACCAUGAGUUUGACAAUGGAGUGGAGGGCCUGCUCCGCCCUUUUCUGCAGAAGGUGAACUUCACUGUUCUCAGUGCCAACAUCAAGGCAGAUGCAACACUCGCCCCAACUAUCAAUGGUUACUAUCAACCCUACACAACAUUCACGAUGGACUCUGAAAUAGUGGCUGUGGUAGGUUACACCUCAGCGGAAACUCCAGUCUUAUCCUUACCAGGUCCACACCUGAUCUUUGAGGAUGAGAUCAAAGCCUUGCAGGUCCAGGUGGAUAAACUGAUCACUCUUGGUUACAAUAAGAUCAUCGCCCUUGGUCACUCUGGAUUUGACGUGGAUAUAGACAUCGCCAAGCGAGUGAAAGGUGUGGACCUGGUCAUUGGAGGACACACCAACACUUUCCUCUACACAGGGAGUGUCCCAUCUUCAGAGGUGCCGACGGGUCCCUACCCCUUCACGGUGAGGUCUGAGGACGGGAGAGAUGUCCCUGUGGUACAGGCUUUUGCCUUUGGGAAGUACCUGGGAUACCUCAAGUUGGUCUUCGAUAAAGCUGGGAAUGUGGUGAAGGCGAAUGGAAACCCCAUCCUGCUGGACAGCAGCAUAGCCCAGGAUCCAGGUAUCCUUGCUGAUGUUGACGAGUGGAAGAAGAACUUGGCCCAGUACUCGUCUCAGUACGUGGGGAAAACCCUGGUGUAUCUCAAUGGAACCUUUAAUGAGUGCCGGUUCCGAGAGUGCAACCUGGGGAACCUCAUCUGUGACGCAAUGAUUCAUCACAAUAUCAAGUAUGCAGAUGAGAUCCAGUGGAAUCACGUCAGUUUAUGCAUCCUGAACAGUGGAGGCAUAAGGACAGGAAUAGAUGAAAGUCACAAAAAUGGCACCAUCACCAUGGAGGAAGUUAUAGCAGUCUUACCAUUUGGUGGCACUUUUGAUCUGGUGCAGUUGAAGGGAUCAACCUUGAAAAAGGCAUUUGAAAACUCUGUCCGAAGAUACGGAAGCAGCAGAGGGGAAUUUCUUCAAGUUUCAGGAAUCCAUGUUGAAUAUGACCUGUCACGGUCGGUGGGGGACCGUGUGACGUCCUUGAGCCUCCGCUGCUCUCGGUGCCGUGUGCCCAGAUACGAAUCCCUGGAUCCAGACAGGCUGUACAAGCUGGUCCUACCAUCCUACAUCGCAGACGGAGGAGAUGGUUUUACCAUGAUCAAGGAGGAGAAACUGAAACAUGACACUGCCUAGCAUUUAUUUUGGCACGGCAGUACCAGUACCAGAUCAAUGUGGAGCUAUAUACAGGUGAUCUGGACAUCUCGGUUUUCGCCAACUACAUCAAGGAGAUGAAGAGGGUGUACCCAACUGUGGAGGGCCGCAUCAAGUUCAGAAACUCAUCCGUGGCGGCUGGGGCCAACUGUCUGACUUUGUUACUGCUAGGCCUGCUGUGGGCCCUGUCCACAAGCCUAUGAGAGAUUCUUUCCAGAAGAUCACAAUAUGGCAGGUUUCUGUGGUGAUGUGUCACAUAUUUAAAUGUUUCUAAAACGGCUGCUGUUUACGAGAAAGAGUAUUAUACUAUUUCAAGAAAUAAUGUAUUUAUAUUUGCAUUACUACAGUAUAUGCAGGUACAUACAGGCAAGUGGCACAAAAACUGCCAAUCACUUUGUUUUGUCACUUUUAUAGAGUCAUGUAUAUUUGCAUUUUAUUGUUGCAAUUUAGUCGUAUUGAUUGAAUUGAUUGACAUGUUUGUGAAAGUUAAUGAAAGCUAAAUAUCUUAGGUUAAAACCUUUUAAUACUCUCAGACCCCUCAAAGAUUUAGUAGAUGAAGUCAUGAUGUCAAAUUUGUAUUUUGCAUGCAGGAUAUACAGCAGAGUGCCUUCAGAAAGUAUUCAUACCCCUUGACUUCUUCCACAUUUUGUUGCAUUCCAGCCUGAAUUUAAAAUGAAUUAAAUAGAUUAAGUCAAGGGGUAUGAAUACUUUCUGAAUGCACUGUACAGUAAAUCUGACUGUCCUGUGUGUUCGGGGGAGCUGUUGUGUUUCCACUGAAGUGAUGACAGUCCGAUGAAGGAAUCUAAAUAAUUGUCACCAUUUAGCUCUAAGGCAAGCCAAAUCAGAUUUGGAAAAACCCAUGGUAUUAAAACAUCACUAUUUCCAAGUCUUUCCGGGAAGGCAGGACUGCAAGCUGCCAAUGACAGCGGCAGAGUGCAGACUAAAAUGAGUCAUGGCUCUGAACAUGUGCAUGUUUACUUCAUGAUAAUUAUAGGCCUAUAAGGGCACAAGGCGAGACCUAAAUGCAGACACAGGAGGCAGAUGGUAGUGCUCCGAUAUUUAUUAACAAAGGGAGUAGGCAAAGGCAGGUCGGGGACAGGCGAGAGUUCAUAAACCGGGUCAGAGUCCAAACAGUACCAGGCGAUAGGCAGAUCUCAAGGUCAGGCCAGGCAGGGGUCAGAAACCAGAUCCGAGUCCAAAACAGUACAAGGGGAUAGGAAGGCUGUUGUUCAGAACAGGCAGAGUGGUCAGGCAGGCGGAUUCGGAGUCAGUACAAGCAAGGGUCGAAACCAGGAGGACUAGAAACAAACAGAGAAAAAUAAGAGCAAGGAAAACCGCUGGUUGAUUUGGCAAACAAGACGAACUGGCACAGAGAGACAGGAAACACAGGGAUAUAUACACCGGGGAUAAUAAGCGACACUUGGAAGGGGUGGAGACAAUAACAAGGACAGGUGAACCAGAUCAGGGUGUGACAAGGCCAGACAAGAAACGAUGUGGGGAGGUUUACAAAAGCAGCGACCAAGUUUGAUUAAUCAGUCUUCAGAUAUUUUUCUUUUAUUAUCACAAUCAUGUUCAGUCACAUCCCCUUUUUUCAGUAUUAUUGUUUUCUGAAUCAGUAAAAAUGAUCACAAGUGCAGCGGUAUGAGUGGUUUAAGUGCUGUAUAUACAGUUCCAACAACAUGCAGCAGAUGAAGCCGAGACUAAAGCCAGACAAUCCUCUUGCCAAGUCCAUGGAGCCACGUUAGUAGCAGUCUGCUGCUGGUUGAAAAAAAAACAUCAAAUCCACAUGUUCAAUGUAUGUAUAAACACUGAAGGCUGUAAAGCCCAAACAUCUCUAUAUGCUGAUGCAGUGAAAAUAAUUAAAAACGUUGAAUAAUGAAGUAAGCUUUAUGUGACAUAUUUUUCAGUGUGGACCCAUUACACAUUUUUGAUUGUAUUAACAAUGAUUACUGCUGGAAUGAUUAUAUGAUGAAUGUUCUGCUUUAUCAGCCGGUAGUUCCAUACAUCAGCAUUUCAAUAAAGUGAAUUAAACAUUUAAAA